AUGGAUAGCGAUCCACUUCCGACCGCCACCUCCCCUUGCCCUAUGGACAAUGCCGAGGUAUUGUCUCAAGAGGCACCGGGUCGAGGGGAGACAAUCCCGGAGGCGCCUCAAGGCGACCUUCCGGACUCCAGGAGCAAAGGGAGCAAGGCUCCCGAGGGCUUCGAGUUCGACCCUCAGUCGAACACCGCGCCGGAACCUCCAGUGGUUCCGGACUCGGGCAGGCGGCCUCCUUCCAAAAGGAGCAAGACGCCUGUGCCGGUGAUCUCUGCCCAUCCAGGGGCACCGGGCAAUCUGCUGGGAGCGCUUCGCAGCGCUUCCAUCGACGAAGAGCACCGCACUAUUAUGAGUGCGGUGAUCCAGAAGGUUCAGUCCAUCAAGAGCGGACUGACUGAAGCCUGUGCCAGCCUUCUAACAGGCUUUGAGGCUUCGCUGCUGGCCUCUGUCGCACUGACUUCGGAGGUCGCCGCACUGAAGCAGGACCUCGAAGGGUCCAAGAAAGAGCUCGGCCUUGCCAAGAGGCAGCUCGAGGAGAACAAAGGAUUAUCUGUGAUUUGCUAG
Molecule: ribosomal RNA, 558 nt
Filed under: Triticum aestivum (bread wheat)
Lineage: Eukaryota; Viridiplantae; Streptophyta; Magnoliopsida; Poales; Poaceae
Description: partial small subunit ribosomal RNA
Source: RNAcentral